UGGUAGUAUGAAUAAAAAAAUAAUGGGCGAAUGCAAUAUUUAUACAGUUGGUAUGCACUACUGCAGUUAUGUUAUUGUUUAUAUUUUGGUGAGGAAAACUUUAUAUUGCAGGAGUUUGUUAGAAUUUAUUGAGAAAACUGACUUUGUCGCUAUGGCACGCAAGUAUUGUCGUGUAGUGGGUGGCCGGCUCUAUAAAAAUUAUGACAAAAAAAACAUUAGACAGAGCCAUAGAUGAUGUUGUACAGAAGAGAUUUAGCCAACGGACAGCAUCAAAAAACUGAAGAAUGUUCACACCAAGACACCAGGUGGUCAAAGAGUUUUUAAUGAACUGGAGGAACAGUCAUUUGUUGACCAUCUAAUAAAGUUGUCAGAGUUUGGUUUUCCAGUCAAUGAAAGUGAUUUUCGAUGGACUGUGAGUAAUUAUCUACAGCGUAAAAGUGUGACAGUGAAAAAAUUUAAAGAUAACACACCAGGAUCGUGAAUGGUCCACCAGGAGCCAGAUACAACUGCACAAAAAGUGGGGGUUUGAUGCUGUUGUGUUUGAGGACUGGUUUUGUAGUCUGUUUCUCCUCAGCGUGCGUCAUUUACAAGGAGAAAUUGCUCUCAUUGGAGACAACUUUUCCUCUCACAUUAGCACACAAGUGUUGCAAAUUUGCCAGGAAAAAAGAAUCAAGUUCAUUUGUCUGCCGCCUAAUGCAAUCCACUUUCUCCAGCCAUUGGGUGUAAGUUUCUGUGCACCAUUGAAAAGAGCUUGAUCACUUUUAUCGUCUUGGCGUGACUCUGCUGAAGGGUCAAAAUUCCCAAAUAUUCCAAAGGAUAAACUGUCCAGUCUCCUGAAGUCAUUGAUGGAGCAGAUUGAACAGAACAAAGAAGAAAAUUUAGUUUCAGGAUUCAGGAAGUGCGGCAUUGUUCCUGUUGAAAAGAUGUAAUAUUGGCACGGUUACCAAAUGAAGAGGAAAAUUCUUCUCUCAUUGGAGAAGCUUUCAUGGCAUCACUUACUGCUCAUAGGAACAGGGUGAUAGGUGGUGAUGCACCUAGGCAGAAAAGGAAGAAACUAAAUGUUCCUGCAGGAAGGAGCAUUAGUGUAGGGGAUGUUGCCCAGUCAUCAGUUAAUGAACCACCUAAACUGAAGACAUGCAAACAUAAUCAACGACAGAAGACCCCAACAUUUCAUGAAGAAUCGUCUUCAGACAUUGAUGGAAAUCAUGAGGAUAUUGUCGUCAAUGAUUCAGAUAGCAAUCUAGAGACAUUUUCCAACUCAGGUGAUGACUCCGUAAUCAUUAUAACCGCGAAUCUCUGAAAUCUGUGUGCAGCAGCAACGAUUUUGUCAUUAUUACAUACAACUCACAAUAUCCAGGAAAGAUUGUUGACAUCACUGAAGCUGGUCCAACAGUAGAUUGCAUGGAGCAGGGGAAGAAUUACUGGCAUUGGCCUCAGAAACGUGACAUCUGGACGUAUGAAUGGGAGCAUAUUGUGAAGAAAAUCGAACCUACAGGCACGUUUCUGUCAAAAGAAACACUGUUCGUAGUUCCAGAGUUGAGUUUUAUGUUUAAUAAUAAAUUAUAUUAAAUUUGUUUUGUUAAUAUGUUAGAUAAUAUUCUUCUUUUGUUAAUGUGUUCAAUCCAAGUUUACAAUAGAAAUAAAUUUUGUUCAUAGUAAAGAA
Molecule: long non-coding RNA, 1663 nt
Organism: Bacillus rossius redtenbacheri
Lineage: Eukaryota; Metazoa; Arthropoda; Insecta; Phasmatodea; Bacillidae
Exons: 2
Source: RefSeq, a predicted model, not a curated record